AACGAACGCUGGCGGCAUGCCUAACACAUGCAAGUCGAACGAGACCUUCGGGUCUAGUGGCGCACGGGUGCGUAACGCGUGGGAACCUGCCCUUAGGUUCGGAAUAACUCCCCGAAAGGGGUGCUAAUACCGGAUAAUGUCUUCGGACCAAAGAUUUAUCGCCUUUGGAUGGGCCCGCGUUGGAUUAGCUAGUUGGUAGGGUAAAAGCCUACCAAGGAGACGAUCCAUAGCUGGUCGGAGAGGAUGAUCAGCCACACUGGCACUGAGACACGGCCCAGACUCCUACGGGAGGCAGCAGUGGGGAAUAUUGGACAAUGGGCGAAAGCCUGAUCCAGCAAUGCCGCGUGAGUGAUGAAGGCCUUAGGGUUGUAAAGCUCUUUUACCCGGGAUGAUAAUGACAGUACCGGGAGAAUAAGCACCGGCUAACUACGUG
RNAcentral lists this ribosomal RNA (433 nucleotides) under uncultured bacterium. Its description in RNAcentral is "partial 16S ribosomal RNA". It matches the Rfam family "Bacterial small subunit ribosomal RNA", at positions 29 to 507 of the family's 1533-position model. The record is from RNAcentral.